GUGGAUAUCGUCUAGCGGUUAAGACAUCUCACUGUGGAUGAGAGGAGCGUGGGUUCGAAUCCCACUAUCCACCCCA
Molecule: transfer RNA, 76 nt
Filed under: Chloroflexota bacterium
Lineage: Bacteria; Bacillati; Chloroflexota
Description: tRNA-His
Rfam family: tRNA
About the family: Transfer RNA (tRNA) molecules are approximately 80 nucleotides in length.
Source: RNAcentral